GCCAGCGUGGUGUAGUGGUUUGAGCAUUGGACUACGACUCAGAGACCAGGGUUCAAAUCCCAGCUUGGCC
RNAcentral lists this transfer RNA (70 nucleotides) under Phrynosoma platyrhinos (Desert horned lizard). RNAcentral's name for it is "tRNA-OTHER". Lineage: Eukaryota; Metazoa; Chordata; Lepidosauria; Squamata; Phrynosomatidae. The record is from RNAcentral.